CCGAAGUUAGCUCAGUGGUGGAGCACAUGGCUGAUAACCAUGAGGCCGCACGUUCGAGUCGUGCACUUCGGACCA
Molecule: transfer RNA, 75 nt
Filed under: Deinococcus soli (ex Cha et al. 2016)
Lineage: Bacteria; Thermotogati; Deinococcota; Deinococci; Deinococcales; Deinococcaceae
Description: tRNA-Ile
Rfam family: tRNA
About the family: Transfer RNA (tRNA) molecules are approximately 80 nucleotides in length. Their secondary structure includes four short double-helical elements and three loops (D, anti-codon, and T loops).
Source: RNAcentral